This is a long non-coding RNA of Populus nigra (black poplar), 2908 nucleotides long. RefSeq lists it as uncharacterized. The record is from RefSeq and is a predicted model, not a curated record. The transcript is spliced from 2 exons. Lineage: Eukaryota; Viridiplantae; Streptophyta; Magnoliopsida; Malpighiales; Salicaceae.
GAUUUACACUUGAGAAGAGAGAGUGAUGCUAUAAUAAUGUCCUAUCAGAACAGAUAACAGGAGAGAAAAGGACCCGUGGGAUGGGAUUUUUCACAGAAUCAUGACUGCAUAAAAUGCACACAAGGGGUUUGGCAAUGGUCACUCGAGGGGCCUCAUGCCAUCACUAGUCAGGGAAGCAUAUUGAGAGAAGGGCUAGCCCAAUCUUAUCAACAAUGGCAGCCAAGUGUUUCAUUUGCACACACAGAGAAAACUGAGAAGCCUUGAGUUGUCUCCAUCCUCCAACUCAGACAAGUCUAAAAGGACUUGAACAAAAUAAGAACACAAAAUGUAGUGAUGGGUUCCACAGCCAACCAGGCAAGUAGGCAAAUAAGCGUGGCAGCUAAUGAUUCCUUAACAUGCAACUAACCAGAUUCAAGUGAAUGGCAUGGCAUUUUGACAACCUUUUUCUUUUUUUUUUUCUUCUGUCCCUUCAUCGCCUAAACUAAGCAAACGGAGGAAAGAUCAGCAUUAUUGCCUUAGCUUCGCAUGCACUUUAAAUUAUUAGUGUGCUCCAACGAGUGAGAGACGUCACCUAACAUCAACAGCCCUGGGGGGAGGCUUGAUAUUUUCUACCAGACAAGUUUUCUAUCAUAGGUAAGGAUCUUCUUAUGCUAAAAUUGGUGAAGUAAAAAAGGGAAAUAGUAUAUAGGAAAGAGAAGGAGAGUGAAGUACAUAUAGUUUUUCUAUGAAUUUAUUUUUUUCUAUAUUUUAUGAGGUAUUUUUACAUCUCCAUUAGGUGAAAUUACCUUGUGAAAAGUGAAAUAAUAAGAGAAUAAUUGAUUUUCCUUUAAGAUAACCUAAAAAGAUGAGUGUUUGAUUGUUGUGUUUUCCUAUAUCAUUUGGAAGAAAGGUUGGUGCUCGCGAGUGAUUAGCAAAAAAUAUUAGGAUCCAUUGAGAAGACAAGUUGGUGACAGAUAAUUAUUGACGAGAAAGGUAUGCACGCACUGAAGAUUCAUGCGUUAGCAUUAGAGAGAGUAGCGUUGUGGGGGUAUAUAACUUUUUAUAAAGUUUCUGAUCCUCAAAGAACAAAAUUAAAAGUAGAAGUUUUAAGAGUGUUUUUGUUGGUUAUGCAUAAAAUUCAAAAGCUUAUAUGCUUGUGGAUUUAAAAACUGAUGUGAUAGUUGAAUUUGUAUAUAUUGAAUUUUAGAUCCUAUUUUAAUAGUAUUUAGUAUAUUCUAUUACAUAAAAAGAGGAUGAGUGCAUGCUCUUAAUAGAAUUUAAAAUUCGUGUUUAAUAUAAUAAAAACAUGUAUAAUUUCACCUAUAUAAAUAUAGAAGUGAUGUCAUUUUCUUACAAGAGUUAGAGUCUACUCUUGUAAAUAUUCAUGAAAAUGAGAUUUUAGCAUAUGAUCAUAAUAAAUAUUAAACAUUUGUAAAUCUCUCUUAGGAGUUUGAAAAGUAUUUUGUGUAUAGCAUCAUCUUUGAUUCUGCAACAAAAAUUUUGAUUGAAUUCACAAACAUCAAUAAUUUUAGUAGAAUUCAAGUUCUAACACUAAUUAGAGGUUUAAAUUAUAAAUUUUUUUUUUGUAAGCAUAAUUAUAUCAAGUGAGAAAAUAAUAAUUACAAACCAGUGAAGAAUUAUUGGUGUAGUUUAUAAAUAAAUAAAGUAUAUAAAAGAUAUUUUAUCCCACGUGGUAAAGAAAUACUCUCUCCUAGGGAAAUUUUAUCCGUUGAGAACUCGGUUGAAAUCCUGCAAGUAUGAUACUUAUGACAGAAAAAAUAAUAGCAGCAAAUCCUCUUAUGAGAUUUGAGGACUGAAUAUACACACGGAGGAGAGAUAAAACUCCGUGCCCAUAUGCGGUCCACCUGGAACAAAAUGUGGAUAAUGGCAGUAUCCAGGUGGCCUGCAUGUCAUCCAGAAACCCUUGCAAUCCACGUGCAGCUGUGAUCCAUGUCGCAUGCUGGCACUAACAUUACGUACAAUCCCUAUUUAUUUUUAUAUUUUAAAAAUAUUUUUUAUUUUUUUAUUUUAAAUUAAUUUAUUUUUUUAAAAGAAAAAGAUUGUGGGUUAGUGUAAUCACAUGGGUGGCUAGUAUUGCAUGGUCCCUCGUGCUCGCCGUGUCUGUAUGGAGAAGUAGACAGGACUGGUCCUUCAUUGGUUUUUGUAUUUAGCAGAUGCACAUGGAAUAUCAUCUACGGGAAAGUAAGAGUGUAUUGUGACCUGUGGUUUCCUUUGUUAAUUUUGCUCCUUUUAUGAGCUGAAUUGUUAUUUCACAUCCUCCAACUCUUUAUUUCUUUUCGAUUGCAUCCUAAUCUUCUAUUUCAAACAACACUCGACUGUGAUGAUUCUCAAUGCUUCAACAAACACUUCUUGUAAAUAACUUUAUAUACUUUUUUAAAAAAAAUAUUAUAUGUUUUUAUUAAUUUCAUCUCUUUUAUUUUGAGAUCUAUUUAAGUACCUUUACACACACACACACACUAAUUAAGGGAUGAGUUUACUCAUUACAUUAUUAUUUGGAAUUCAAAUUGAAAGGAAAACAUAAAAAUGGAAUCUAUGCAGAACCUGACAAGAAAAGAAUUGAAUUUGAAUAUGCUACAAAACCGAUUCAAUUUCCAAAAAAACCUGAAGUUUAUUGUACGGAAGUCGAGCUCACGAUCUGGGAGUCGUUCCUUCCUCUGUAUUUGUAGGCUCCAUCUCUAGUCAAAACAGAGAUGACGAACAUCGCUGAUGGAAAGACAGGCAGCUAGUGGGAACUAUGUUUGAGCCCACCAGCUCAUCAGAUUCAUCAAAACUUCUUCCAUUUUUUCAACUCCGUGGUGCUCUGCCUCGGAGCUCGUCGCUGCAAGCCAAUUAGAAACGAUUGUGUCAUUCGGCUGUCACGAGAGCAUAUACAUGAGAGAAAUUUAUUAAUCUAUGUUUUUUAUUAUUA